AAUGAACUCUGUUUUAAAGUAUUUAUUUCAUUGGUUUUUUUCCUUUUAUUAAUUUUGGGUGUGUUUUUUAGUUUUUCUGACUCCAUUAAGUGUUGCUUCUGAUGUCUAUUGUCAUAUAUGUCCCUCUAGGAACUGCUUUUGUGUCUCAAAGAUUUUUGACCAUGAUAUUUCCAGUUUUAUUUGUGUCCUCAUGUUUAAGUUCCUUCUUGUUUUCUCCAUUAAUUAACCCAUUGGUUGUUUAGUAGUAUGUUGUUUCACAUCCAUGUUUUCUUGUUUUUCUAGUUUUAUUUUUGUAAUGGAUUUCUAGUUUCAUACCAUUGUGUUUGGAAAAGAUCAAUCUUUUUGAAUUUAUUUAAAUUUGUGUUCUUACAUGUGAUGUAUCCUGGAGAGUGUUUCAUGUGCAUAUAAAGAACGUGUGUUCUGCUAUUUGUGGAUGGCAUGUUAUGUGUAUAUUUUAAGUUCAUUUGGUCUAAUGUAUCAUUUAAAGCCACUCUUUCUUAUUGACUGUCUGUGUGGAUGAUCUUUCUAUUGCUGUAAGUGGGGUGUUCAAGUUUCCUACUAUCAGUGUAUUAUUGUCAAUUUCUCCCCUAUGUCUGUUAAUAUUUUUUUUUAUAUAUUCAGGUGCGCCUAUGGUAAGUGCACAGAUAUUUACAAUUGUUGUAUCCUCUUGCUUAUCACUUAUUAUUCAUUGCCCUUGUAUAUUGCUAUAGUAUUUUUCUUAGUUUAUUAUGUCCGAUAGAAGUAUAGUUACACUGGCUUUCCCCCCCCCCCCCCCCCCGCUUCUAUUUGCAUGGAACAUCUUUAUAUAUUCCUUAACUUUCAGUUUGUAUGUGUCUUUAGGUCUGAAGUGGGUCUCUUGUAAACAACAUAUAGGUGGAUCUUUUGUUUUCUUUUUGAAAUCCAUUCAGUCUGUCUAUUUUGAUUGGAACAUUCAGUCCAUUUAAUUUAAGGUAAUUAUUUAAUAUAUAUGUGCUUGUUCCCAUUUUGUUAAUUUUAUUAAUUUUAUUUUCCUUUUUUCUUCUCUUUCUUCCCUUGUGAUUCCUUUCUUUUAUAGUUUGAUUUGUGGUUACCAUGAUGUUCAUAUAUAACAUCCUAUGCAUAUAGCACUUCAUGUAAAGGUGACUGUUGCUUAAGUUUGAACACAUUCUAAAAGAAUUAUGUUUUUACUCCCUCUUCCAUGUAUAUGAAAUAUUUCCUAUCUUUUUUGUAUCUCUUAACUAACUGUAUAUAAAAUUGAUAUUAGUAUUUUUGUAAGUUUUUGGUCUGCUUUUUCUCUAUGGGCUCUUUUUCCUUUCAAAGAAGUCUAAUAUGUCUUAUAUGGCCAUUUUAGUGGUGAUACACUCUACCUUUUGUUCAUCUGGAAACUUCUUUAUGUCUUCUUCAAUUCUGAAUGCUAACCUUGCUGGUUUCAGUAUACUUGGUUGUAGGUUUUUUCCUUUCAGUACUUCAAAUCUACCAUACCACUGCAUUCUGGCCUGCAAAGUUUCUGCUCAAGAAUCAACUUAAAGCUUAAAAUGGGUUUUCUUGCAAGUAAGCAAUUGCUUUUCUUUUGCUCCUUUAAAAAUUCUCUUUAAUUUUUAUGUCAUAAUUAGUAUCUGUCCUGAUGUGGGCCCUUUUGGGUUCACACUGGAGCUCUCUGUCGAUCCUGGAGCUUGAUGUCUGUUUCAUUCCCCAGUGUAGGGAAAUUUUCAGUGAUUAUUUCUUUAAGUUUUCUAUGUGAAUGGCAUUAUCCUUGAUGUUGUCCUAGAGGUUUCUUCUUUUAGAUCACUGAUCUGUCCUGCAUCUUGUUAUCUGCUAUUGAUUCUCUGUACUAUAUUUUUCAUUUCAGUCGUUGUACUUUACAGCUCUGAUUGGUUAUAUUUUCUGCUUCCUUGCUGAAGUUUUCAAGCUGCUCAUCCACUCUUCUCUCAAGUAUGGUGGUCAUCUUCAUGACUAUUGCUUUGAACUCUUGAUCAGGGCAAGACUUGCUUUGGAGUGGUGCUGGUUCUGGACCGGGUUGACCACAAGGCAUGGCAGGGUAAUAGUCGCUAUACAGGAACACCUGCAAUGGUAAGUCCACAGGAUAGAUGGCGAAUGACCAACUGGCACCUACCUGUGUCAGGCCAGCUAGGCUCAAGAGGGGCAAGAAAAGUGGUACCUGCCAGCACUUCUGUACCUGGAGAUAGUUCCUGCCCCCCUGGCACAUGUCCUAGUCUAUAAAUGUCCUACAUGUGUAGCUUGGGCACUUUUCAAACUGCUGCCUCUGUGGUCUCAUUGUACUUGAGCCCUUUAAGGGUGUAUCCCUCUUUCUGAUAGCCCUCCACUCUUACUGAAGUGAACCCCCUGCUUAUUUUCAAAGCCUGAUGUUAUGGGGCUCAUCGAGCCAAUGCAGAUCCCUGUGACUGAGCGUGCCCAAUGAGGGACUUCAAACCCUCAUCCUUCAGGGAGGACCUCCACCCCUGUGAUAUCCUUCCUGCUGGUUGGUCACUGAGGGUUUUGUCAGGACUACAUCUCUGCCCAUCGUACCUUUCUAGAUGUAGCUUUCUCUUCGUAUCUUUAAUUGUGGAAAAGCUGUCCUGUCAGUCUUCGGGUUGUUCUCAGAAUGAGGUGUACUGUAUGCCAUUGCAGCCUUGUGUCUGCAGGAGGAAUUGAGCUCAGAUUCUUCACUUCUCCUCUUGACCAGUAAAAGACUAUUAGACAUAGGU
Molecule: long non-coding RNA, 2684 nt
Organism: Herpailurus yagouaroundi (jaguarundi)
Lineage: Eukaryota; Metazoa; Chordata; Mammalia; Carnivora; Felidae
Exons: 2
Source: RefSeq, a predicted model, not a curated record